CCCUUAGAUGUCCUGGGCCGCACGCGCGCUACACUGAUACAAUCAACAAGCACCCAACCUUGGUCGAGAGGCCUGGGUAAUCUUGUGAAACUGUAUCGUGAUGGGGAUAGAUGCUUGUAAUUUUUCAUCUUCAACGAGGAAUUCCUAGUAAACGCGAGUCAUCAGCUUGCAUUGAUUACGUCCCUGCCCUUUGUACACACCGCCCGUCGCACCUACCGAUUGGAUGGUCCGGUGAAGCUCAAGGAUCGGCCUGGCGCUUCGGUGCUGGGCCGAGAGGUGAUCUAAACCUUACCAUCUAGAGGAAGGUGAAGUCGUAACA
RNAcentral lists this ribosomal RNA (319 nucleotides) under uncultured eukaryote. RNAcentral's name for it is "partial 18S ribosomal RNA". It matches the Rfam family "Eukaryotic small subunit ribosomal RNA", at positions 1470 to 1796 of the family's 1831-position model. The record is from RNAcentral.